RNAcentral lists this transfer RNA (75 nucleotides) under Candidatus Planktophila lacus. RNAcentral describes it as "tRNA-Gly". It matches the Rfam family "tRNA". Rfam says of the family: Transfer RNA (tRNA) molecules are approximately 80 nucleotides in length. Their secondary structure includes four short double-helical elements and three loops (D, anti-codon, and T loops). Lineage: Bacteria; Bacillati; Actinomycetota; Actinomycetes; Candidatus Nanopelagicales; Candidatus Nanopelagicaceae. RNAcentral also lists the same sequence under 3 other names. The record is from RNAcentral.
GGGGGCGUGUUGUAAUUGGCAGCAAUCGUGUUUACCAAACCCGAAGUGCGGGUUCAAAUCCCGUCGCCUCCACCA